Molecule: ribosomal RNA, 352 nt
Filed under: uncultured bacterium
Lineage: Bacteria
Description: bacterial SSU rRNA
Rfam family: Bacterial small subunit ribosomal RNA
Source: RNAcentral
GGGCCCGCACAAGCGGUGGAGCAUGUGGUUUAAUUCGAUGAUACGCGAGGAACCUUACCAGGGCUUAAAUGGAAAAUGACAGGGGCAGAGACGCCCCCUUCUUCGGACAUUUUUCAAGGUGCUGCAUGGUUGUCGUCAGCUCGUGCCGUGAGGUGUCAGGUUAAGUCCUAUAACGAGCGCAACCCCUACCGUUAGUUGCCAGCGAGUAAUGUCGGGGACUCUAACGGAACUGCCGGUGCAAACCGUGAGGAAGGUGGGGACGACGUCAAAUCAUCACGGCCCUUACGUCCUGGCCACACACGUGCUACAAUGGCAAGUACAGACGGCUGCUAACCCGCGAGGGGGGAGCUAA